This 437-nucleotide ribosomal RNA is filed under the name uncultured Ruminococcus sp. RNAcentral describes it as "partial 16S ribosomal RNA". It matches the Rfam family "Bacterial small subunit ribosomal RNA", at positions 341 to 792 of the family's 1533-position model. Lineage: Bacteria; Bacillati; Bacillota; Clostridia; Eubacteriales; Oscillospiraceae. The record is from RNAcentral.
ACGGGAGGCAGCAGUGGGGAAUAUUGCGCAAUGGAGGCAACUCUGACGCAGCAACGCCGUGUGCAGGAUGACGGCCUUAGGGUUGUAAACUGCUUUCAGUAGGGAAGAAGUAAUUGACGGUACCUACACAAGAAGCUCCGGCUAACUACGUGCCAGCAGCCGCGGUAAUACGUAGGGAGCAAGCGUUAUCCGGAAUUACUGGGUGUAAAGGGAGUGUAGGCGGGACUGUAAGUCAGAUGUGAAAUAUGCCGGCUCAACUGGCAGACUGCAUUUGAAACUGCGGUUCUUGAGUGAAGUAGAGGUAAGCGGAAUUCCUAGUGUAGCGGUGAAAUGCGUAGAUAUUAGGAGGAACAUCAGUGGCGAAGGCGGCUUACUGGGCUUUAACUGACGCUGAGGCUCGAAAGCGUGGGGAGCAAACAGGAUUAGAUACCCUGGUA